Phoenix dactylifera (date palm) is the source of this 5524-nucleotide non-coding RNA. The record is from RefSeq and is a predicted model, not a curated record. Lineage: Eukaryota; Viridiplantae; Streptophyta; Magnoliopsida; Arecales; Arecaceae.
CAAUAGCGUGCUGCAUGUUUGCAUGGGAGUGAGUCUAUCUGGUAGGUUCUCAAGGAUCAUAUCCUUGAAGUCUAACAAGAGGUAUGGGAUCUUUAGUGGAUGACCCUAUACAGCUUCUCGAUGUGCCUAUAGUUCACAAGCUUCCAUGGCAAAGGUUGUCGCAUUCGAACCCGUCACAUGACCUUCUAUACACUACUAUGCAAUAAUGAAUUAUAAGUUCUCUAUUUAUAAUGACCGCUUAAGCUGUACAGGCUUAACAUGAAAAUAGGAGCAGUACCAAAUUGCUUUCUUUGUUAAGGUCUACUUUCAGGAAGAUCAUGAUAGUUGGGGUCCUCAGUUGCUGUUCUUGUUGCACCAAGUUGGACUAAGCUCAGCUAUUCUUUUCUAUUAGUUCAUUUUUCUCCAGUGAAAAGCAUUGAUUGUACAAUAAAGUUUAAUCUCUUCUUUCACAGUACAAUCAUUAUUCUAUUCAUUAGAUACGAAUAUUACAGGUUCUACCCACUAAUUUGAUGAUGUUACUAAUGUAGAUCGAGGAAUGUUCCUCUAAGCCAAUGGGUAGCUAUAUUGAUGGUAUGAUUCUUCUGAUGCUUAUUAUUUUCUUGUUGGUGUACAUGUAAUUUGUUGUUAGCAGAAUAUGGUGGAAUAGUGUAGCUGGAUAUUCUUAUUUCUCCUUUGAGGAAGAAUAAAACUAUGUAAUCUUCUAUAAGAAUUUAUAUGCUUGAUAGUUAAUAUCGAAGAAACAGCUGCAUAUGAAAAUGUUUGUAACAUUCUUCAGAAAGUCUUCUCUUGAUUUGGUUGGGCAAUCUGCUGCUAUUUAUGUUUUUAAGUGUUUAUAUGCAGGAAACAGAAGCAUUAUGCUUUCCAAAAAAGUAAGUUUGGAGAAUAUGGCAUGAGAUGCUGGUAUUGUGUUUCUAAAUUACCAUGUGGCUAUUAAUUUGUUUAAGCGCAGGGACAUGAGAUGAGUGGGAGAUCCAAGGACCUGAUGACUCAGUUGCAGUCUGCAAAAAAUAAGUUUGAAGAAGUGGAAGCGAAAAAAAUCUGAAAUUAAUAUAUCAAUCAGCAAGGCAUUUCUUUGAUUACAAUUGAUGGAAUCAAUUUACAAUUAUGGAUGGGGACUAAUGUUCUGUAAGUCGAGCAUUUUACAAUAAGAAAAUGCAAAUGAUUUUCUUUCUUAACAGUCAAAGCAGCUUGUUGAGCAAGUAAAGCACCAAAUUGAGAGUGUGCCAGGGGGUCCAUCAAACCAAAUUAAUAGAUGAUUGGCUAUCAUUCCUUCCAAGGUCAGUCCACAGAAAUCUGUUCUGCUUCAUGUAUGUUAUCAUAUGAUGUGCUGGUUCAUCCAGUCUCCUUUGAUGGAAAUGGAUGAGGAUGCCCUGGAAGAGGAAUACAAAGCUCUGUUUGCUGAUAACACUGGAGAAAUGGAAUACCGGAACUCUCUAGAGGUGUAUUCUGGUUUGAACUUCUGCUGUAUUGAUUUGAUAGUUUACCUGUUUUUAUUGCUGAUGCUAGUAUCUUUUACUAAAGAUUUUGCUUUGUAUCAGUUCGUCUAUGGUAUUAGUAGUCUUAAAUCGCCUGAUAUUUUUGCAAUUUCAUUGUUUUGUGAACAAUCAACUUCUUUAUGGUAUAUGUAUGUUAUUGGAGAUUUUCAAUUAAUUUCCUCCGGGGACUAGGUUUAGAGGAAUAAACCUGGCUUACCUUCUGUAUGUGUGCUAAUGUUGUGAAAUAUCAUGUUCUGUGUGCAAUCGGUAGUCAUUCUGAUAUUUUUGUAGUUGCAUUCUUGCUUGAUUGCAGACACCGGAGCUUCUUCAACAAGAAAUGGUCAUCCUUUCAAUAAAAAUAAAAGAAAGUGCUAUGCAUCAGAGUGAGAGUUCAAUCACAUUUUCGUCAUAUAGAUCAGUGAAUUUUGUGUACUUUGUCUUCAAUAGAUCUUACUACUCAAAGAUCACCGAGGAGUUGAAUGUUAAACUAAAGGAACAGCAGCUAGGCUCGAAUGAAAUAUUCCAAAGUUCUUUUGAACUAUCAUAUCAUCCCUUGGCAUGCCUUGUGCUUCUAACUUGCAAGUAUGUGCAACAAAGAUUUUCCAUGUUUUUUCCUCCUUUGUCUUGUGUGUGUAGGAUUGGUUUGACUCACAUAAGCAGAAAAUGGUACAAGAUGCUUGGCCAGUAUGCUUUCACUAACAUUCACCAUGACCUUCUAUACUACUAUGCAAUAAUGAAUUAUGAGCUCUCCAUGUAUAAUGACCAGUUAAGCUGUGCAGGCUUAACAUGAAAAUAGGAGCAGUACCAAAUUGCUUUCUUUGUUAAGGUCUACUUUCAGGAAGAUCAUGAUAGUUGGAGUCCUCAGUUGCGGUUCUUGUUGCACCAAGUUGGACUAAGCUCAGCUAUUCUUUUCUAUGAGUUCAUUUUUCUCCAGUGAAAAGCAUUGAUUGUACAAUAAAGUUUAAUUUCUUCUUUCACAGUACAAUCAUUAUUCUAUUAAUUAGAUAAGAAUAUUACAGGUUCUAUCCACUAAUUUGAUGAUGUUGCUAAUGUAGAUCGAGGAAUGUUCCUCUAAGCCAAUGGGUAGCUAUAUUGAUGGUAUGAUUCUUCUGAUGCAUAUUAUUUUCUUGUUGGAUAAUUUGUCGUUAGCAGAAUAUGGUGGAAUAGUGUAGCUGGAUAUUCUUAUUUCUCCUUUGAGGAAGAAUAAAACUAUGUAUUAUUCUAUCAGAGUUUAUAUGCUUGAUAGUUAAUACCGAAGAAACAGCUGCUUAUGAAAAUGUUUGUAAUAUUCUUCGGAAAGUCCUCUCUUGAUUUGGUUGGGCUAUCUGCUGCUAUUUAUGUUUUUAACUGUUUAUAUGCAGGAAACAGAAGCAUUAUGCUUUGCAAAAAAGCAAGUUUGGAGAAUAUGGCAUGAGAUGCUGGUAUUAUGUUUCUAAAUAACCAUGUGUUAUUAAUUUCUUUAACAGCAGGGACAUGAGAUGAGUGGGUGAUCCAAGGACCUGAUGACUCAGUUGCAGUCUGCAAAAAAUAAGUUUGAAGAAGUAGAAGCAAAAAAAAUCUGAAAUUAAUAUAUCAAGCAGCAAGGCAUUCUUUGAUUACAACUGGUGGAAUCAAUUUACAAUUAUGGAUGGGGUCUAAUGUUCUAUAAGUCGAGCAUGCUACAAUAAGAAAAUGCAAAUGAUUUUCUUUCUUAAUAGUCAAAGCAGCUUGUUGAGCAAGUACAGCACCAAAUUACUGAGUGUUCCAGGGAGUCCAUCAAACCAAAUUAAUAGAUGAUUGGCUAUCAUUUCUUCCAAGGUCAGUCCACAGAAGUCUGUUCUGCUUCAUGAAUGUUAUCAUAUGACGUGCUGGUUCAUGCAGUUUCCUUUGAUGGAAAUGGAUGAGGAUGCCUUGGGAGAGGAAUACAAAGCUAUAACACUGGAGAAAUGGAAUACCAGCACUCUCUAGAGGUGUAUUCUGGUUUGAACUUCUGCUGUAUUGAUUUGAUAGUUGACCUGUUUUUAUUGCUGAUGUUAGUAUCUUUUACUAAAGAUUUUGCUUUGUAUCAGUUCGUUUAUGGUAUUAGUAGUCUUAAAUCGUCUGAUCCUUUUGCAAUUUCAUUUUUUUGUAAACACUUUUACUAUAAUCAACUUCUUUAUGGUAUCUGUUACUGGAGAUUUUCAAUUAAUUUCCUCCAGGGACUAGGUUUAGAGGAAUAAACCUGGCUUGUCUGCUGUAUGUGUGCUAUUGCAUUCCUAUCUUCACUUUUCUCUAGCUUAGUGUUGCUGAUUGUUGACCUAUAUUCUCUUGACUGUUCCCUAUGGUCUCAUAGUUUUAUUAUCAUCAUAUUAAACACAAUAUUUGUUUUUCCAUUACACAUAUGAAAUAGAAAUCAAAUGCAAACGUUGGUUCCAGCUGAAGUCUUGGUUCUGCAAUAUUUUAUCACUUACCGGACUGAGCUAUUUAAUUACAGUUUUCUUUUUUUUUCUUUCAAACUUCUUAGUUUACUCACUUUCGGAUAUGACUUGUUUCUCUUAUUCCACAGGAGACCUUUUCAGAUUCACCUAUUUUGUCUUUGAAACAUUUAUUUUGUCAACUGAUUUCAAGAUGUAGUGUUAUUCGCUGCAAAUCAUCGAAUCAUGGUGAUAGGAAGUUGUCAUUCAUUCACAGUUUAUCUUUGUGGACAAGUUACACCAGUUAAUUACUCUUCUCUUCCUUUUGAAUUGAUGGAUACCUAUUAACCGAUCUUAGUAGGAUGCUGCAUAAAUAUCAUUCUUGUUAGGUUUUUGGUUAAGUAUUGAUGAGUAGCCAUUGUUGGAUACCAGCUGUAUGAUCUUGGAAGGAUGGUUAGUUAUAUAUUGAUCUUGUUAGGUUCUUCGGUAAUUCUAGGGGGGAUUAGUAGAAUAGGUUGGACUAUUGCAUUCGCAUCCUCACUUUGUGUUCUCUAGAAUAGUGUUGCUGAUUGUUGACCUAUAUUCUCUUAACUGUUCCCUAUGGUCUCAUAGUUUUAUUAUCAUCAUAUUAAACACAAUAUUUGUUUUUCCAUUACAAAUAUGAAAUAGAAAUCAAAUGCAAAAUGUUGGUUCCAGCUAAAGUCUCGUUUCUGUAGCAUCCUUGACUUAUGCCUUAUUUGAUCUAUGGAAAGAUGGAUCUCCGCCUUGACUGCAUUUUAAGUGUAUGGGUGCCUGGAUAACCAAGUUUUUUGAGUAAUUACUUUUCUUCCUGUUUUUCUUAACACAUGUUUUUCUACAUGUACAGAAGUUAGAGAGCCAGUUAUCUGAAAAAAGUUUCGGCAACUUGAUCUAGUGCUAUUUACUUCAGUUCAUUAUAACAUCAUGAUAAGACAUUGCUGUUCAUUCAUAGUUCAUCUUCAUGGGCAAAUUGCACUGAAAUGUUGCAUUGGAUGGGAGGUUCCAGGUGUGUCGCGAUGGAAAAACCAUGGAAGUUGAUGUUGCACGUGGUACAGUAACCCAUCACUACAAAUAACAUUUCUUAUAUUUUGCUUGAAUGCAAGGGCUUGUGCAGGUACUUUUUCCUUUGCUUUUGACUAUCGCAAUGGUUCUAACUGGAAGAAGUAACUGAGAAGCUGACUUUUAUUUGCCUUUCACAACUGAUAUUGUUCAUGAUAUACUUAUGUAAAUAAAGGAUUUGUCAAAGGCUCUAGCUUUCUUUUGUUUGCCUAGAAAAACUUGAUCAUUAUCCUCAAUUCCUCAUCAUAAUAUAGAGGAUACUAGAUUAAUUAGUGGAUUUAAAUAUGUUGCAAUCAUAUGAUUUUUAACACAUCUUGAUUGAUUAGGUUUUACCUAAUUGCUGAAAUCAAUAACACAACUGUCACAAUUGUAUCGAAUGUUGAUUAAUGAGAAAUUUGUUCCCCCUUUCUUUUUGAUUUUGAUCUUCUGUCCUAUAUGGUAAAAUGCUCAGGCAAUGAGAAGAUGUUGUAGUCUUCAACGACGGGUUAAUUCUCCUUUUGAUUUUGAUUCCAUUCACGACCUUCCAUUUUGAAAAAUGUUAUCUUUGUCUUGAAUGGCCUUUGCGGCGUACUUCAAUAUAAAACAUACUUAUGUUCUCAA